GUGUCAGCCGCCGCGGUAAUACGGAGGGUGCGAGCGUUGUCCGGAAUCACUGGGCGUAAAGGGCGCGUAGGCGGCGCGACAAGUCAACGGUGAAAGCUCGGGGCUCAACCCCGAGUCGGCCGUCGAUACUGUUGGGCUGGAGCACUGUAGAGGCAGGUGGAAUUCCGGGUGUAGCGGUGGAAUGCGUAGAGAUCCGGAAGAACACCGGUGGCGAAGGCGGCCUGCUGGGCAGUAGCUGACGCUGAGGCGCGACAGCGUGGGGAGCAAACAGGAUUAGAAACCCCCGUAGUCC
This 292-nucleotide ribosomal RNA is filed under the name uncultured bacterium. Its description in RNAcentral is "partial 16S ribosomal RNA". It matches the Rfam family "Bacterial small subunit ribosomal RNA", at positions 505 to 796 of the family's 1533-position model. The record is from RNAcentral.